AGGAGGCAGCAGUGGGGAAUCUUGCACAAUGGGCGAAAGCCUGAUGCAGCGACGCCGCGUGAAGGAUGAAGGCCUUCGGGUUGUAAACUUCUUUUGCAGGGGAAGAUAAUGACGGUACCCUGCGAAUAAGCCACGGCUAACUCUGUGCCAGCAGCCGCGGUAAGACAGAGGUGGCGAGCGUUGUUCGGAAUUACUGGGCUUAAAGGGCGCGUAGGCGGUGAUAUAAGUCUGGGGUGGAAGCCCAUAGCUUAACUAUGGGACUGCCCUGGAAACUGUAUUGCUUGAGUCGGACAGGGGAAGGCGGAAUUCCAGGUGUAGCGGUGAAAUGCGUAGAUAUCUGGAGGAAGGCCUGUGGUGAAGACGGCCUUCUGGGUCUUGACUGACGCUGAGGCGCGAAAGCGUGGGUAGCAAACAGGAUUAGAUACCCCGGU
RNAcentral lists this ribosomal RNA (431 nucleotides) under uncultured bacterium. RNAcentral describes it as "bacterial SSU rRNA". It matches the Rfam family "Bacterial small subunit ribosomal RNA", at positions 343 to 791 of the family's 1533-position model. The record is from RNAcentral.